ACUAAAAUAUGUGCUUGUCAGAGCCUGAUCUGGUUUGAUCUCAGAAGCGAAGCAGUGCUGGGCCUGUUUAGUACUUGGAUGGGAGAUCACUUGGAAUAUGAGGUGCUACAGUG
RNAcentral lists this ribosomal RNA (113 nucleotides) under Periophthalmus magnuspinnatus. Lineage: Eukaryota; Metazoa; Chordata; Actinopteri; Gobiiformes; Gobiidae. The record is from RNAcentral.